CAUGUACUCCCUCCGUCCCAAAAUUCUUGUCUUACAUUUGUCUAGAUACGGAUGCAUUUAAUACUAAAAUGUGACUUAAUACAGUAGCAAACUAAUUUAAAAUUGCUAACCUGUAGUUGUAUGAGCGUUAGACAAGAAUUUUGGGACGGAGGGAGUAUGUA
This is a non-coding RNA of Triticum aestivum (bread wheat), 161 nucleotides long. Lineage: Eukaryota; Viridiplantae; Streptophyta; Magnoliopsida; Poales; Poaceae. The record is from Rfam.